UACGGGGGGAGCAAGCGUUGUUCGGAUUUACUGGGCGUAAAGGGCGCGUAGGCGGCCACUGCAAGUCAGUUGUGAAAUCUCCGGGCUUAACCCGGAAAGGUCAGCUGAUACUGCAGGGCUAGAGUGCAGAAGGGGCAACUGGAAUUCUCGGUGUAGCGGUGAAAUGCGUAGAUAUCGAGAGGAACACCUGCGGCGAAGGCGGGUUGCUGGGCUGACACUGACGCUGACAGCGCGAAAGCCAGGGGAGCAAACGGG
This 255-nucleotide ribosomal RNA is filed under the name uncultured bacterium. RNAcentral describes it as "partial 16S ribosomal RNA". It matches the Rfam family "Bacterial small subunit ribosomal RNA", at positions 524 to 776 of the family's 1533-position model. The record is from RNAcentral.